AUUCUGCCCAAGCGGGGAAGGAUGAGAAGCUUCGACUAAGGUUCGACUCGAGCGCCAGCGAGAGAGCGUUGCCGCAGGCAACGACCCG
This 88-nucleotide small RNA is filed under the name Escherichia coli. RNAcentral describes it as "partial RtT sRNA". It matches the Rfam family "RtT RNA", at positions 1 to 86 of the family's 130-position model. Rfam says of the family: This family represents a bacterial cis-regulatory element known as RtT RNA. Lineage: Bacteria; Pseudomonadati; Pseudomonadota; Gammaproteobacteria; Enterobacterales; Enterobacteriaceae. The record is from RNAcentral.